RNAcentral lists this ribosomal RNA (1224 nucleotides) under Triticum aestivum (bread wheat). Its description in RNAcentral is "partial small subunit ribosomal RNA". Lineage: Eukaryota; Viridiplantae; Streptophyta; Magnoliopsida; Poales; Poaceae. The record is from RNAcentral.
AUGAGUCAGUUUCGCAACGGAGAAGUUCCUCGGUUUCUUUCAUCAGAUAUUAAUGUAGUACCAGUACUCUCUGAAGUCACAGUUCCUAGUUUUCCAGAGUAUAGAACAUCUUACAUUGAAAGGGACAUGUGCGGUAGUUCUAUCACCUCAUUCAAUACCUUAUGUCAGCCAUAUAUGUCAGCUUCCAAUUUCACUUCAGAUCUUUGUAUCAACAAUGGGUCACCUAAAGGGAAACUGUCUUUUGGAUCUCAUGUUAUUGCAAUAUCUGGUUGUGAUACUUCACUGCCAUCAGCACAUUCAUCAUACACGGGUAAUCCAGAUUAUUUAAGGAUGGUCUAUCCCAAAGUAUCUGAAGAAAUAAACUGGGGUCAAGAACCACUCCCAGGAGUAUUUGAAUAUCCAGCAACCAUUGAUGUUUCUGAUCAACGAAACGUGAUUGUUAGCCAACAAAGCCAAGACAUUAUUACAAUUGAUCAUAUUACCCACCUUGCAAAGCAAAAAGAGUGGUACUCAUCUGGGUGUUCAGAGCAAUUUCUGGGAAGUUCAGGAUCUGGUGGAUCUGUGCUUAAGGCAGCUGAUGCAAAUACAACACCUCCAAAUUAUGCAUAUUUUCAUGGGCAGAAAAACAGAUUGAGUUCUUUCAAUGUGGAUGAACUUUGCAGUGAUAAUUUACCUUGUUCAGACACUACUCCAACCAAGUCAAGGAUGCGCUGGACACCUGAGCUCCAUGAGAAGUUUGUUGACGCCGUUGACAAGCUUGGUGGAAGUGAAAAAGCAACUCCAAAAGCAGUCCAGAAAGUUAUGAAGGUUGAAGGGCUAACUAUAUACCAUGUAAAAAGCCAUCUACAGAAGUAUCGUACAGUUCGCCAUCAAUCUGAAUUGUCUGAUGCAGGCACUUCAGCAGAGAGAAGCAACCACAUGGAUGAAGUUUGCUCCCAGAACAUGAAACACAUGGAGGCUAGUGAAGGGCUAAGAACUCAGAUUGGCUUGCAGAAGCAACUUCAUGCACAGCUUGAGCUCCAAAGAAAGAUGCAGCUGCAAGUAGAAGAACACAGCAAGUACCUGGAGAUGGUGAUCGCGAGGCAGGGCGAGAGCCUAAAACAGCUCGGCGCGCUACCGAGGUUCCAGCAUUCGAACACGCAGUCUGUGGAUCACAAGGAAGCAUACAGAGAACAAACAGCAGACACUGAUUCGGCCGAAGGGAGCCAUCCAGAAAAGGAAUGA